UACCAGCACCCCGAGUGGUCGGGACGAUUAUUGGGCCUAAAGCAUCCGUAGCCGGCCUUACAAGUCCCCCGUUAAAUCCAACUGCUUAACAGAUGGGCUGCGGAGGAUACUAUAAGACUAGGAGGCAGGAGAGGCAAGCGGUACUCAGUGGGUAGGGGUAAAAUCCGUUGAUCCAUUGAAGACCACCAGUGGCGAAGGCGGCUAUCUGGACGGUUUCUGACACUAAGACUCGAAAGCGUGGGGAGCAAACAGG
Molecule: ribosomal RNA, 253 nt
Filed under: uncultured bacterium
Lineage: Bacteria
Description: partial 16S ribosomal RNA
Rfam family: Archaeal small subunit ribosomal RNA
Source: RNAcentral